RNAcentral lists this long non-coding RNA (528 nucleotides) under Salarias fasciatus (jewelled blenny). RNAcentral describes it as "lncRNA (ENSSFAG00005017989.1)". The record is from RNAcentral. Lineage: Eukaryota; Metazoa; Chordata; Actinopteri; Blenniiformes; Blenniidae.
AACAGUUAUCCUCUUCCUCACAUGAACCAGCUCGUAUUUUUUGUUAUUAUACAUCUGGGAAACUGAAUUGUAUGGUUCUGUCCAUGCAGGACCCCAUCCUGAUACUGAUAACAUAAUGGAUCCAAAGCCUGUGGAGGGCGAAGAACAGGCCAAGAAACGUCGAGGCCGGAAGAAGAGUAAACUUGAAGACAUGUUUCCCGCAUAUCUCCAGGAGGCUUUCUUUGGCAAGACAUUAAUAGACUUGAGCAAGAAAGCUGUGAUGAUACCUCCGGGCCAGAGGCCAGGCGGAUGCCUUGUCCGACCUUCAUUACCAGCACCGACAGGGAUUAAAUCUGCUGGCUCAGAGACUGAAGCCAAGGAUCAGACGAUGGAAGGUAAUUUUCCUCUCAAGCAAGAAAGGGGUGAGGCCCCCCAGGCUCAGGGAGAUAGUACCGGUAGGUGUGCAUACCACAAAGCUGUCUAGUUAUCUAACACUUUCAAAUAAUUGUGAACAGAGUGGUCUUCAUUGUCUGUUUUAAUCUUAGCACC